This 865-nucleotide ribosomal RNA is filed under the name Trametes parvispora. RNAcentral describes it as "partial large subunit ribosomal RNA". It matches the Rfam family "Eukaryotic large subunit ribosomal RNA", at positions 78 to 930 of the family's 3401-position model. Lineage: Eukaryota; Fungi; Basidiomycota; Agaricomycetes; Polyporales; Polyporaceae. The record is from RNAcentral.
CCCUAGUAACUGCGAGUGAAGCGGGAAAAGCUCAAAUUUAAAAUCUGGCGGUCUUUGGCCGUCCGAGUUGUAGUCUGGAGAAGUGCUUUCCGCGUUGGACCGUGUACAAGUCUCUUGGAACAGAGCGUCAUAGAGGGUGAGAAUCCCGUCUUUGACACGGACUACCAAUGCUUUGUGAUGCGCUCUCAAAGAGUCGAGUUGUUUGGGAAUGCAGCUCAAAAUGGGUGGUGAAUUCCAUCUAAAGCUAAAUAUUGGCGAGAGACCGAUAGCGAACAAGUACCGUGAGGGAAAGAUGAAAAGCACUUUGGAAAGAGAGUUAAACAGUACGUGAAAUUGCUGAAAGGGAAACGCUUGAAGUCAGUCGCGUCGUCCGAAACUCAGCCUUCCUUUUGGUCGGUGCAUUUUUCGGAUGACGGGCCAGCAUCGAUUUUGACCGCUGGAAAAGGGCUGGAGGAAUGUGGCACCUUCGGGUGUGUUAUAGCCUCCUGUCGCAUACGGCGGUUGGGAUCGAGGAACGCAGCACGCCUUAUGGCUGGGGUUUACCCACAUUCGUGCUUAGGAUGCUGGCAUAAUGGCUUUAAACGACCCGUCUUGAAACACGGACCAAGGAGUCUAACAUGCCUGCGAGUGUUUGGGUGGAAAACCCGAGCGCGUAAUGAAAGUGAAAGUUGAGACCUCUGUCGUGGAGGGCAUCGACGCCCGGACCUGAUGUUCUCUGACGGAUCCGCGGUAGAGCAUGUAUGUUGGGACCCGAAAGAUGGUGAACUAUGCCUGAAUAGGGUGAAGCCAGAGGAAACUCUGGUGGAGGCUCGUAGCGAUUCUGACGUGCAAAUCGAUCGUCAAAUUUGGGUAUAGGGGCGAAAGA